RNAcentral lists this long non-coding RNA (435 nucleotides) under Mus pahari (shrew mouse). RNAcentral describes it as "predicted gene 16031 (MGP_PahariEiJ_G0002779.1)". Lineage: Eukaryota; Metazoa; Chordata; Mammalia; Rodentia; Muridae. The record is from RNAcentral.
AGGUGAGGCCCUCAAAGAGACAAAAGGGGUCCUGGUCUCUGCAGACAUUAACAACAUGCCCCCCCCCCAGUGGUGUCAGUGACUGCUGCCCUCCUCCCAAUAUUGAUGCUCAGAAACCACCUGCUCAUUGCCAGACUUCUCAGUGUCUGAGGGUCAGGUAAGGAGAGGACCUCGCCAGAGUGCUGCAGACUCCUCGAUAGAGACACAUCGAGUUAAGAUGGUGAGAAGGUGAGACACACUAGAGUUACUCGGCUGUGUGGUAAGUGGCACAGAGCAAGCCCCACAGUAGUCAGGUGUGCCCUGUAUCCCAGCACUCGGAAGCCUCCUGAGGCAGGGCAGUAAAGAGGCUAAAGCUGAAUCAGGUGAACUGAAAACAUGAGGCCAGCUCUGUAUCAACAAACAAACAAACAAACACAAAACAAACAAACCACCCAA